GCCCGGGUGGCGGAAUCUGGCAGACGCGCACGGUUCAGGUCCGUGUGCCGAAAGGCGUGCGGGUUCGAACCCCGCCCCGGGCACCA
This 86-nucleotide transfer RNA is filed under the name Mesorhizobium amorphae. Its description in RNAcentral is "tRNA-Leu". It matches the Rfam family "tRNA". From Rfam's summary of the family: Transfer RNA (tRNA) molecules are approximately 80 nucleotides in length. The record is from RNAcentral. Lineage: Bacteria; Pseudomonadati; Pseudomonadota; Alphaproteobacteria; Hyphomicrobiales; Phyllobacteriaceae.